RNAcentral lists this ribosomal RNA (252 nucleotides) under uncultured bacterium. RNAcentral describes it as "partial 16S ribosomal RNA". It matches the Rfam family "Bacterial small subunit ribosomal RNA", at positions 109 to 354 of the family's 1533-position model. The record is from RNAcentral.
AGUAACACGUGAGUGACCUGCCUUUUAGACUGGAACAACUUACCGAAAGGUGAGCUAAUGCCGGAUGAGUUAUAUAAGUGCAUGUUUAUAUAGGAAAAGUUGGGGAGACCUGACGCUGAAAGAUGGACUCGCGUCCCAUUAGCUAGUUGGUGGGGUAAAGGCUCACCAAGGCGACGAUCAGUAGCCGGCCUGAGAGGGCGACCGGCCACAUUGGGACUGAGGCACGGCCCAGACUCCUACGGAAGGCAGCAG